Molecule: long non-coding RNA, 376 nt
Filed under: Helianthus annuus (common sunflower)
Lineage: Eukaryota; Viridiplantae; Streptophyta; Magnoliopsida; Asterales; Asteraceae
Description: sRNA HanXRQr2_Chr12g0538771
Source: RNAcentral
UUCUCUAUUAGAAUCUGAGGUUUGAAUGUGAAAAGAGGAAGGGGAGAACAAGGAAACCAAGAAAAAAAAUGAGUUAACCUUCAGUAAAUAGCUUCAAAAUCUUGUUACCUCAUCGAUAUGCUUUCAGUUGUAAGGAACAAAAGGGCUACGGAUAAUGAUAUAGAUGUUUUGUUGAUGACGUUGAUGUCGAAGUUUUUUAGCGAGUUAGGUAUUUCGUUAGUUUAGCUUUAUAUAUAGAUUAUAUGUAGUUUAUUUAUACAGUUUUAUGUAGUUUGUUAUGCAUUCAACAAAUGAUUGUAAUUUGACCGGUUUAUUUCCGAAUUGGAUGUCUACGGGUUUAUUUCCGAAUUGAAUGUGUAUUGGUUUGGUUUCAUUU